This is a long non-coding RNA of Columba livia (rock pigeon), 1691 nucleotides long. RefSeq lists it as uncharacterized. The transcript has 2 exons. The record is from RefSeq and is a predicted model, not a curated record. Lineage: Eukaryota; Metazoa; Chordata; Aves; Columbiformes; Columbidae.
CACAGGGAAGCUGGCACAGGGCAUUGGCCAGACGUCGACGCAGGUAGAGCCACGGAGACUUUUGAUUGGCGCUCCCCUGGAGCGCAAGCCGAUUGGUGGAGGUUGAAGUGAAGUCAGCGUCUCCCGCGGCUGAUUGGCCGCGGGAGGGAGGCGGCGGGAGCGCUUGGCGUCUCUCCCGCGGGGGGAGCCGGGGGGUUCGGCGGGGAGCUCCGAAGAGGCCGCGCCUCGUUCCCUUCACCACGGCCCCAACCCCACGUUGGAUCACGGCGGCCGCGUCGCUCGUUCUCCCGCUCGGCGGCGAUGGCGCAGGAGCGGGCCCGGCCGGACCCGGAAGUGAAGCGGCGGAAAUGCCCGCGGAGGAGCCGGCGGCCGAGCGGCCCGGGAGGCGCGGCCCCGGCGAGCUCUCCCGCCGCGCUCCCCGCCCGGCGCUGCCGAGCGCCCAGCAGAGACACCGCCGGGCCGCAGGUAGGGGCUGCAGGCGCCGCCCGUGCCGCGUUCCCCUCAGCCGGCGCGGGCGGGCGGCGGGUGGUUGCGUUUCCCUCAGGGGAAGGCGUCGCUCUGUCGCCGUUAAUCAUCCCCUGCUGCCCGUGACGCGCUCGGGGCGAAGCGCGGGGAUGGGGACGUGACCGCCUCUUGCCGCCCGGUCGCUUCUGCACAUGGUGCUGGCGGCUGAGUCACCUCUGCAUAGGGAGGAUGCAGCGAGGAGGGGGAAGAGCGGCGGUGACGGGACUGAGCGCUUUUCGGGGUGCGGAGGGGGAAUGUAGCGCUGUCCGGUCCUUCUGUACCGCGGUCGCUCUGAAGGAGCAGCCUGACAUGAAGAAUCUGAGGAGAGAUCUUUGCUGUGAGGCGCCAGAGCCUGGCCCAGGCUGCCCAGGGAGGCUGUGGAAUCUCCCUCUCUGAGACAUUUAAACCCACCUGGACACGACCCUGUGUGAUCUGCUCUGGUGACCCUGUGUUAGCAGGUGGGUUGGACUGGGUGAUCUCCAGAGGCCCCUUCAACCCCAACCACCCUGUGGUUCUGUGAUGUGACAGGGUGCGCUGAGAGAAUAUGGUCUUGGGCACUACUAAAUAGGAGCUACUAACUGAAACCUGUAUUAAAAUUACAUAUAUAUUUUUAACAUUAAUGUAGAUUCCAUGUUAGUGCUUGCUUGGAGGUGGUUUUUGUGUUGUGUUCUUUUGUUUUUAUUAAAUCUAAUGUUUCGGAAAGCAGUAGGCAAAAGGACGGCUCUCUAGGGAGCUUAUUGAGCAAGAGUGAAUAGUGUAGAUAAGCUCUGCAGGUGUAGUGAGGUGUAAUGCACAUGAGCUAUGUUUAGUAUUAACUACAGGAGAUUUCUGAUAUGGGGGAGAGUAGCUCUAGAGUUCUGGUGUUUAGAUCUGGAUUAUAAACAUAAAGAGGCUUGAACAUAUAGAAAAGUUUGAGGUAUUUCUUUUAGUGCUGAGGGAAUUUGAUGCUGUGCUGUAGUUCCACUUUAUGCAGUGGAUAAACUGAAAAUUAUUGUUUUGAAUAUGUUGAAUCUAACCCAAAUAUUAACAGAACUUCAGAAAUUCACUUUGAAUGCGAACUUCUCAUCUAACUAUGGAAUGUACUGGUUGAAUCAUGACUUAAAUUGUGAGCUAUUUUUGAGGCACGAAUUGUAUCUCUGUACUAAGUAUAGAACCAUUUAAUAAAUAACAGUUUGUGACAAAACUAA